Molecule: transfer RNA, 72 nt
Filed under: Oryzias latipes (Japanese medaka)
Lineage: Eukaryota; Metazoa; Chordata; Actinopteri; Beloniformes; Adrianichthyidae
Description: tRNA-Cys (GCA) (tRNA-Cys-GCA-21-1)
Rfam family: tRNA
About the family: Transfer RNA (tRNA) molecules are approximately 80 nucleotides in length. Their secondary structure includes four short double-helical elements and three loops (D, anti-codon, and T loops).
Source: Rfam by way of RNAcentral
GGGGGUAUAGCUCAGUGGUAGAGCAUUUGACUGCAGACCAAAAGGUCCCCAGUUCAACUCUGGGUGCCCCCU